UAAGCAGAGUAUGAAAUAUCACGGCUCAACCGUGAAACCGUAUUCUGAACUGGUAGACUAGAGGAUGAGAGAGGUUAUUGGAAUUUCUUGUGUAGGAGUGAAAUCCGUAGAUAUAAGAAGGAACACCGAUGGCGUAGGCAGAUAACUGGCUCAUACCUGACACUAAGGCACGAAAGCGUGGGGAGCAAACGGGAUUAGAUACCCCGGUAGUCCACGCCGUAAACUAUGGAUGCUA
RNAcentral lists this ribosomal RNA (235 nucleotides) under uncultured Candidatus Saccharibacteria bacterium. RNAcentral's name for it is "partial 16S ribosomal RNA". It matches the Rfam family "Bacterial small subunit ribosomal RNA", at positions 584 to 818 of the family's 1533-position model. The record is from RNAcentral. Lineage: Bacteria; Candidatus Saccharimonadota.